Molecule: ribosomal RNA, 467 nt
Filed under: uncultured bacterium
Lineage: Bacteria
Description: partial 16S ribosomal RNA
Rfam family: Bacterial small subunit ribosomal RNA
Source: RNAcentral
GACGAACGCUGGCGGCGUGCUUAACACAUGCAAGUCGAACGGAAAGGCUCCAGCUUGCUGGAGUACUCGAGUGGCGAACGGGUGAGUAACACGUGGGUAAUCUGCCCUGCACUCUGGGAUAAGCCUGGGAAACUGGGUCUAAUACUGGAUAUGACCUUUCUCCUUAUGGGGUUUGGUGGAAAGUUUUUCGGUGUAGGAUGAGCCCGCGGCCUAUCAGCUUGUUGGUGGGGUGAUGGCCUACCAAGGCGACGACGGGUAGCCGGCCUGAGAGGGUGAUCGGCCACAUUGGGACUGAGAUACGGCCCAGACUCCUACGGGAGGCAGCAGUAGGGAAUAUUGCACAAUGGGCGGAAGCCUGAUGCAGCGACGCCGCGUGAGGGAUGACGGCCUUCGGGUUGUAAACCUCUUUCAGCAGGGACGAAGCGUAAGUGACGGUACCUGCAGAAGAAGCACCGGCUAACUAUGUG